Rattus norvegicus (Norway rat) is the source of this 2776-nucleotide long non-coding RNA. RefSeq lists it as uncharacterized. Lineage: Eukaryota; Metazoa; Chordata; Mammalia; Rodentia; Muridae. The record is from RefSeq and is a predicted model, not a curated record.
AGCGGCGCGGCGAAACAAAGAUGGCCGACAUCCAGCCUUGUCUGGAUAUAAACGACUUACUGCGCAUGUGCAGGCUUGUCCCCUUGCUAGGGCUCCCUCUAGUGGUGAACAGCGGUACUGCACAUGUGCAGUUUAUGCACCAGGUGUUAGUUGACCGUUAAUAUGCUAAUGAGGUGAUUCAUUCUCCGCCAAUCCCUGGAGGACAAGUAGUGGGGUGAUCCAAGCCCCACCAAUCCCUGAGAGAUAAUUAGCAUACUGUUGUCUAUAUAAGCCGAGCGAUUUUGCUGCUCGGGGUCCCUGUUCAGAAGAGCUGUAACACUGAGAAGAGCUGUAACACUAAGAAGAGCUGUAACACAGUAAAGGCUUGCUCGCAGAAGAAUCCUGUUGCCGCGCGUCGUUCUUGCUGGUGGGACAUUGGGCGCGCGACAGGACACCUAGGCUAAUUCCCCAGCUUAGCUUUGUGAAUGGCACUGUAGUAGGUGCAUAUGAACAUGUAUGCUGGUGUGUGCAGAGACCAGAGGACACCUCUAGUAUUAUUUUUCUGGAGUUCUACAUUGUAGUUUUAGUUGAGACCUCUAGUAGGCCUGUGGCUCGCCGAGAGUCUCUACUGCAUGGCACAGAACCCGAGGGCUCCACUGUGUCAGCAGCACUGAGCUCAUGAGCUGCUCCGUCACCCUUAGGUGUGGAUGAGCAGACUCAGGUUCUUGUGCUUGCACAGCACACACUUCACCAACUGAGCUAGCCACGCCCCGAGUCCAGGGCUGGGAUGGCGCAGAAUCUGAAGAUUGCUUUUGAUAAGGGAUAUUCUCACUCUAUGAAUUCUUCCACUCUGCCAUUGGGUCUUUUGAACUACAUUUCUAGGAUGGCCAAGUAAAGAAUCUUUGAAGGUCAAACAUUAACCAACACAAGUAAAAGCCAGAAGAUGAGCAGCUUCUUGAGGAAAUUUUCCAGAGAGCAUUUGUCUCAGUGAGCAAGGUAGUCCAUGAGGAUUCCAAGUCAGCAGUGUCGGGGACUCUGCCUCUGCCUAAAGCAGAGCCUGAAGGAUACAAUCUCCGUUCAGGGAGGAACCUGAACAUAUGACCUCCUGUCUUUCCUUUGUCCUGAGAACAAGAGAGCCUGAAAGCUCUCCUGAGACUCGUAGCCAGCCAUCUUUCUUAGUCUUGCAGUCCCAGAGUCCAAAAAAAACUCAACCCAAGAAAAACAUUUACAGCGAAGCUUAAUUUGUAGUUUCCAGGCGACUGGCAGGAACAAACACGAGUCUAUUAUGAAGGUUCCGUUUUCAACAGCAGAUUCAGGACUCGCCAUUGAUAGAUUCUAAAGAAGCUAGCGCAUGUGGCUGAAAUCAGAAAACGUGAAAGGAAAUAAUGUACCGUGUGCAGGUCCUGGCAAGAACGAGACGACAGACAGACGAGGAAGCAGCAGCUAUUGGAAUGAGGAGGCAGCGGGUAUAAAAUAAGUCUGUUAACUAUUUUGAAAAAAAAUAAGCCCAAAAUUAAAAAUAUACAGAAAGCAUGACCAGAAGAUUUGAUAGGCUCAAGGAAAAACAACAACAACAACAACAACAACAAAAAAAAAAAACAAAACAAAACCCCAAAACAACAACAAAAUAUGCACCGGAAUUACAUAACAAGAUGGCUUAUCUGUGAAGAACACUGGCUGCAGUUCCAGAGGAACUGGGUUUGAUUCCCAGUACCCACAUGGCAGCUCACAACCAUAUAUUACUCAGUUAGGGGGAGUCCAUCCUCCCCCUCUUGCCUCCACUGCUACCAGGCACACAAGCGGUACACAGACAUGCAGGUAGGCAAAACACUGACACAUAUUCUAUUUAAAAACCAGCAGCACAACACAUGGACCUAACAGCAGAACAACCACAACAGGAGGGUAGAUGAGGAAGGACAGGUCCAGGAAAUUUUCAGAACACCGCCCAGAAAAUAGGAGAGGGUUUAUAUAACACGAGAGUUUGUGAGAACCAUCUGAUUGCAACUCUAUGCAGACAGGGAGGAAGGGAAGGAGUAAUUCAAGUAAUAACUGAGAACACGGAAGGAAAACAUUGAAGGUGAGCUCAUGCCGGAGUUUAAGGCCAAAGAGAUCUGACACCUCUCUGGCUUCUGUUGGUACCAGGUUAUGCACAAGGUAUAGACAUACGUGCAGGCAACACAUGCAUGCACGCAAGCAUGCAUACAUGUUGCAUAACUUCUUAACAGAAGAGGAAACCUGUGAAAACACGGAGAAUAACAAACAUAAAAGUAGAUGAGAACAUAACAAAAUAAAAUACGGAAGAAUCAAGACCUUAAAAAAAAAACCCACAGAAACAAGGGGUUGGAGCGAAUGUUCAAUAUAUUGAAAUUUUAAGCUAGUAGAGAUUGUUGUAGAUUCGGAUUGAUGCUUGCAUGAGAAUCCUGCUGAGGCGUCCUGCCCAAGCUGUUUCUAAUUGGUAAAUAAAGUUGCUAUUGGCCAAUGGCUGGGCAGGCGGACAGAGGCAGGACUUUAGAAUUCAUGGGCAAGGGGACAGAGGAAGAACAAUGUAGACUCGCCAUUGCCAGGAAAGAAGGUUCAGGAUUGAGCGCUGUAGAAGACAGCGUACAAUCUUGUAAGAGCCGGAAGAGUGGCCCCAGGGGCCAACGACCUCCCCCCUGUUUGGGUCUGGGAUAGCAAAGUUGGAAUAAAGAUUUUAGUAAAUAAUAAUUCAAAGCAGAGAGGAGGCGUUAGCUAUGUGGAAGUCAGGGAGUGACCCAGCCAUUACAUUGUUUAAGGCAUAUUAAAAUAGAAGGCUGUG